AGCUCGCUCUCGUCGGGAGGUAGGGGCGCCGCGGCCUCGUUCGCCGCCCCGACGUUCGACUCGUCGGCGAUGUG
Molecule: transfer RNA, 74 nt
Filed under: Cohnella xylanilytica
Lineage: Bacteria; Bacillati; Bacillota; Bacilli; Caryophanales; Paenibacillaceae
Description: tRNA-Thr
Source: RNAcentral